Molecule: ribosomal RNA, 402 nt
Filed under: Tropidolaemus wagleri (Wagler's pit viper)
Lineage: Eukaryota; Metazoa; Chordata; Lepidosauria; Squamata; Viperidae
Description: partial 12S ribosomal RNA
Source: RNAcentral
UAACACACAAUUAAACCACCAAUUGUCCGCCAAACAACUACGAGUAAUAACUUAAAACUUAAAAGACUUGACGGUGCUUCACCCCAACCUAGAGGAGCCUGUCUAAUAACCGAUGAUCCACGAUUAACCCAACCCUUUCUCGCCCCAACAGUCUAUAUACCGCCGUCGCCAGCUUACCUUGUGAAAGAAAAAUAGUGAGCCCAACAGCACCACACUAAAACGACAGGUCGAGGUGUAACCAAUGAAAAGGACCAAGAUGGGCUACAUUCUCCACCCGAGAAUACGAAUAACACCAUGAAAUAGGUGUCUGAAGGCGGAUUUAGCAGUAAAUUAGGAAUAGAAUACCCAACUGAACAUAACGCAAUGAAGUGCGUACACACCGCCCGUCAUCCCUGCCACCAC